CAUUUAAUUCAUUUCUGUUUCGCGCACUCUUGAUUCUCUCUCCUCUCUCUCUUUGUGUCUGCUAAUCUGGUCAUGCGAUGGAAGACCAUUCCCUAGACAAGGUAGCGAUGUCAGGCCCAGCCCUGGCCUCCACGAUCCAACGCUUCUCCACCUCCCCAGGCUCCGUCGACGGCCUGAUCUUCGGCCAUGUCAGCCACAUCCCCCCUACUCUUACCGACGACUCUCCCAAUUCCACCUCCUCCGCCACUCUCAUCGCCACAGUCACCGCCUUCUUCUGCUCCGGCUCCACCCUCUCCUUCUACAACUCCUCCGGCCGGGUCGACCCCCUCUCCCUCCGCCGCCUCGUCCAAGCCCAGCAGGCCCAAUCCCCCUCCUCCCACCUCCUCGGCUGGUUCUCUGGCCGCCGUAGAACCCACCUCCGCCCCUCCCUCCGAGAAUUCUCAGUCUCCAACUCUCUCUCCUCCAACCCCACUCUCAACUUCCCAAUUCAAAACCCUCCCGAGAGCUCCGCCGCCGCCCCAACUCUCACCCCCUCCCUCUUUCUCCUCUUCGCUUCUCCGGUCACCGAUCAGACCAUCCACACUCACGAGUACCGUGCCUAUCAGUUCCGGCCAUCCAAGCACUCCUUCGAGCCGAAAUCGAUCCAGAUCGUCAACAUUGGGCCCGCGUUCCGAGCCCAUUACGGGAAUUUCAACCCUAGCUCGCCGUUCCCAAUUUUGCCCUGCGAGCUUAGGGUUUCGCCGAUGAAUGUCGACAGGGGAGAGGAGAGCUUAGAUCAACUCAAGCAGCACAACAAGGAUCAGAGCGAACUUGAUAUGUGCAGUGAGGGUUUGGAUGUUGGAAGCCUCAGUAGGCUGAUGGGUUCGGAGGCCGCGAAUUACACCGCCGGCGUCGAGGACUUGUAUGAGAAAAUGCUUGUCAAGAUUGAAACUUUGACCAGGCUCGUUGAGCAGAGCUCUGCCAAGGUUCUUGAGCAGGAAAAUCACAAUAGAAAGCUAAGGUACAAAGCUGCUAGGUCUGCUGGGUUGGAGUAAUUGCGCAAUUCUAGCUGGUGGCAUUUUCUGGGUGGUGAGUUUGGUUAAUUUUCUUUUUCCGGCCAGUUUAUUUUAAUUCCUAUAUUCAUACAGUUUGAAUACAUGAUAUUUUACUUUAGUUUCCAAUAAAAAGAAUCAAGUAUUGUAGGCAGACACCAAAAGCCAUAAGACUUGGUCAAAUAGCGACCGCCUUAACGCAAAGCAUACGCUUUCGCGUGAAAGGCUUACACCUGAUGGGAAACUCUCGAACCCCUGUACGCCUGGUUGAAAAUUCAUAGGCGCCUUAAUUCUCUCAUUGAGGAGAAUGCCCAACUUGGUGGGUGUGCUAGCUGAUGUAUGUAAGAUUUAGCAGCCAUGGCAUUGCUUUUUGAUGAAUCAUACGGUCAACGACUUCCUGAGAUGAAAAUCUGUAGGAAGCAUGGAAGUGUUUAUGUAGUCAUAUGGUUGGCAUGUUUUGGUGGUAGUUGAAGAUGUCCUUUUGUACUCGUAUGCUUUUGCCGUAUCAAGUCCCGUGUAUUAUCCAUUUAUCCAUGCGUUUGUUAAAAUCACUCCGCUUUAUAAAAGGAUGAUGAAGGCAAAUGGAUUUGCGGUGUUUUUAUCUUUUCUUCUUCGACCGUGGCCCAGGGCAAUUGCUAGCUUAGCCCUAGGGUCUAGGUCACGCAACUGAACGCCAUAGACACAAGAAGAUACACCUUCGGUUGUAGGGCAGAAUUUAUCCUUCAAUGAGGCGAUGUUGAAUUUGUAGGAACUCUUUUGUCCAAUUAAUUUUCUUCUGUUUUGUGAA
RNA transcript from Pyrus x bretschneideri (Chinese white pear), 1818 nucleotides. RefSeq lists it as uncharacterized. The record is from RefSeq and is a predicted model, not a curated record. The transcript has 3 exons. Lineage: Eukaryota; Viridiplantae; Streptophyta; Magnoliopsida; Rosales; Rosaceae.